RNAcentral lists this long non-coding RNA (499 nucleotides) under Vulpes vulpes (red fox). RNAcentral's name for it is "lncRNA (ENSVVUG00000011484.1)". Lineage: Eukaryota; Metazoa; Chordata; Mammalia; Carnivora; Canidae. The record is from RNAcentral.
UAAAUCGAACCCCGUUCUUAGCAGCAGGUGCAGAAUAGAAGAACCGCCUUACAUAAUGCCCCGCAGGCCCCCACACCCAACGAAAACGGGUUGAUUAAUUUAUUUCCGUCGGGCUUGCAGAGGUGUCGCUGAGAUGAAAGAAACGAAUGGUCUCUAUCGAAGUCCCAGCCUGCUUUGUGGCCGCACUUUCCCAAAUUAAAACACCUGGAGUUCUUAAACCUGCUCCGAUGUUUUCUAGAUGAACUAUUGAAACUCCAAACUGGCACAGUUAGUGGCACAUUGUUCCUGUACAAGUAUCAACUCAUGUCCCAAGGACCAGAUGAGUGGAGAUAUUUAGGAACAUUUGACUAUCAUGUUCCUCAAGGUAAGUUCUGGAGACAAUGAUUCAGAAUGCAGUUCCACUGCCCUUGAAAAGAUCACAGUACGGGACGCCUGGGUGGCUCAGCAUUUGAGCAUCUGCCUUCGGCUCAGGGCGUGACCCCGGGAUCCUGGGAUCGAG